UACAGAGGUCCCAAGCGUUGUUCGGAUUCACUGGGCGUAAAGGGUGCGUAGGCGGUCGGGUAAGUCUGAUGUGAAAUCUCACAGCUUAACUGUGAAACUGCAUUGGAUACUAUUCGGCUUGAGAGUUGGAGGGGGGACUGGAAUUCUUGGUGUAGCAGUGAAAUGCGUAGAUAUCAAGUGGAACACCAGUGGCGAAGGCGAGUCUCUGGACAUUUCCUGACGCUGAGGAGCGAAAGCGUGGGGAGCGAACAGG
Molecule: ribosomal RNA, 253 nt
Filed under: uncultured bacterium
Lineage: Bacteria
Description: partial 16S ribosomal RNA
Rfam family: Bacterial small subunit ribosomal RNA
Source: RNAcentral